CCUACGGGGGGCAGCAGUAAGGAAUAUUGGUCAAUGGGCGGAAGCCUGAACCAGCCAUGCCGCGUGCAGGAAGACGGCCUACGGGUUGUAAACUGCUUUUAUACGGGAAUAUGUACUGUAAGAAUAAGGAUCGGCUAACUCCGUGCCAGCAGCCGCGGUAAUACGGAGGAUCCGAGCGUUAUCCGGAUUUAUUGGGUUUAAAGGGUGCGUAGGUGGCUUUUUAAGUCAGGGGUGAAAGACGGUAGCUUAACUAUCGCAGUGCCUUUGAUACUGAAGAGCUUGAAUGAACUAGAGGUAGGCGGAAUGUGACAAGUAGCGGUGAAAUGCAUAGAUAUGUCACAGAACACCAAUUGCGAAGGCAGCUUACUAUGUUUAUUGACACUGAGGCACGAAAGCGUGGGGAUCAAACAGGAUUAGAUACCCUUGUAGUC
RNAcentral lists this ribosomal RNA (431 nucleotides) under uncultured bacterium. Its description in RNAcentral is "partial 16S ribosomal RNA". It matches the Rfam family "Bacterial small subunit ribosomal RNA", at positions 338 to 795 of the family's 1533-position model. The record is from RNAcentral.